AAAAUAUCUAAUAUUUAAGCUUCUAACUUAAAUUUAAAGCGUUUAAUACGUUUAUAUUUUA
This 61-nucleotide transfer RNA is filed under the name Lissodema cursor. RNAcentral's name for it is "tRNA-Ser". Lineage: Eukaryota; Metazoa; Arthropoda; Insecta; Coleoptera; Salpingidae. The record is from RNAcentral.